This is a non-coding RNA of Armillaria fumosa, 109 nucleotides long. The record is from the annotation of a GenBank genome assembly. NCBI's taxonomy places the organism in Eukaryota, Fungi, Basidiomycota, Agaricomycetes, Agaricales, Physalacriaceae.
GCCCCCUUUGUCUAAUGGUUAUGACGUCAGACUUCUACCUUGUGUGGGAGUCAUAUCUACUCUUAAGGUGAUAAUCUGGAGGUUGCGGGUUCGAGUCCCGCAGGGGGUU